GAUGAAGAACGUAGCAAAAUGCGAUAAGUAGUGUGAAUUGCAGAAUUCAGUGAAUCAUCGAAUCUUUGAACGCACAUUGCGCCCCUUGGUAUUCCGAGGGGCAUGCCUGUUCGAGCGUCAUUAUAACCCCUCAAGCUCAGCUUGGUGUUGGGGCCUGCUGCACUGGCAGCCCUUAAAAUCAGUGGCGGCGCCAUCUGGCUCUAAGCGUAGUAAUUCUUCUCGCUAUGGAGUCCUGGUGGAUGCUUGCCAUCAACCCCCAAUUUUUCUAUGGUUGACCUCGGAUCAGGUAGGGAUACCCGCUGAACUUAAGCAUAUCAAUAAGCGGAGGA
Molecule: unclassified non-coding RNA, 329 nt
Filed under: soil metagenome
Description: partial contains 5.8S ribosomal RNA, internal transcribed spacer 2, and large subunit ribosomal RNA
Rfam family: 5.8S ribosomal RNA (bases 1-120)
Source: RNAcentral